AGGGUGCCAUCCUGUGCUCACA
This 22-nucleotide microRNA is filed under the name Melibe leonina. Its description in RNAcentral is "mle-miR-317-5p". Its record names the gene mle-miR-317-5p. The record is from miRBase by way of RNAcentral. Lineage: Eukaryota; Metazoa; Mollusca; Gastropoda; Nudibranchia; Dendronotidae.